GGGAGCGAACCUGGCGAAUUGAAACCUCUUAGUAGCCAGAGGAAAAGAAAAUAAUGAUUAACUUUUUAGAUUAUCUAGCGCUUAAGUUACCCGGGUUUGUGCAAACAAGUCCGGUGGCUUAAGUUGCUAGCUCUUCUUAAACAAGUUAAUUGCAUUCCCUGAGUAGUGGCGAGCGAAACGGGAACAGUCCAAACUAUAUUUGUGUAAGCCCAUAAGGCGUUGCAAGUAUGGAGUAAUGGGUUAGUGUUACCGCACUUUUAUGGCGUGCGAGUCGUUGAACUGUAUAUUUGUCUAGUGGAAGACGGCUGGAAUGCCUCACCACAGAGGGUAAGAGUCCCGUACACAAAAGAUAUAUACAACCGACCAAUACUGACCAAAGUAGGGCAGGACAUGUGCAAUCCUGUCUGAAAUCGGGAGACCUACUAAAACGCACUGAUGUUUACUUUACUGUAGACAUGAGUGCGCUCCCAAGACUAAAUACGCCCAUUGACCGAUAGUGAACUAGUACCGUGAGGGAAAGGUGAAAAGAACCCCGUUAAGGGGAAUGAAAUAGACCUGAAACCGUAUACUUACAUAGAAUCGGAGCCGUAAUUUAUUACGGUGACGGUGUGCUUUUUGCAGAACGAACCACCGAGUUUGCUGUAUGUCGUUGUAGCUUAAGCAACGCACACGUUGCGAAGGCAGAGCGAAAGCGAGUGUUAAAAGCGCGAAUUUCUAUUACUUAUGUUCGGGGCAACUCGGACAUAAGCAUUAGACAAUGGCAUGCACAAGACCCGAAAGCAGGUGAUCUAUCCAUGAGCAGGGUGAAGCGUCUGUAACAGGACGUGGAGGCCCGAACCCGUUAGCCGUUCAAUACUAUGGGAUGACUUGUGGAUAGGGGUGAAAUUCCAAUCGAACCUGCUAAUAGCUGGUUCUCUCCGAAAUAGCUUGCGGGCUAGCCUCGUGACGUAGCAGAGAGUGGUAGAGCACUGCAAGGGCUCUUCUGGGUUUACCCAGGGACCCUAGCAAACUCCGAAUGCUUUCUGUGGAAUCACGGGAGUCAGAACGUGGGGGCUAAGCUCCACGCUCAAAAGGGAAACAGCCCAGAUCGUCGUUUAAGGUCCCAAAAUCGUAUCUUAGUGGUAAAGGUGGUGAGGUUGCAUAGACAGCGAGGCAGUUGGCUUAGAAGCAGCCACCUGUUAAAGAAAGCGUAACAGCUCACUCGUCAAGCGACCUUGCGCCGAAAAUGUAACGGGGCUGAAGAUACGUACCGAAAACACGGACUUCUCACAUUUAUGUGAGAUUUGGUAGGAGAGCAUUUCGUACCGCGUUGAAGGGAAACCGUGAGGAAUCCUGGAGCGUACGGAAGAGAGUAUGGUGGUAUGAGUAACAAGACACAGAGUGAGAACCUCUGUCACCGAAAACCCGAGGUUUCCUGGGCAACGUCGAUCGUCCCAGGGUUAGCCGGCCCUAAGCCGAGGCGGAAACGCGUAGGCGAUGGAUAACAGGUUGAUAUUCCUGUGCCGGUAUAUAUGUGUAUCAGGCGUAACGGAGGAGCAGACUAUGCCAGGGUAUAUGACUAUUCCCUGCGCUGUGCACUAGUGGGAGUUUCUAGGUAAAUCCGGAGACUUUCCGCCAAUUGGCGGACAACCACGAAGCAUGGCGGGAGAGUGCGGCCGCGAGGCCAAGCCUCUGCAUACGCAGCUACUUCCUGGAAAAGCGUCGGAUACUAGCCAUGUAUGCCGUCCGUACCGCAAACCAACUCAGGUGGGUAGGUGUAAGUGUACCAAGGUGAUCGGGAGAACCCUCGUUAAGGAACUCGGCAAAAAAGCGUCCGUAAGCUCGCAAUAAGGGCUUCCUCCGGCCUCGCAAGAGGUCAAGGAGGACGCAGCGCAUGUAUCUCUGGCGACUGUUUAACAAAAACACAGGUUCCUGCUAACUCGUAAGAGGAUGUAUAGGAGCUGACGCCUGGCCAGUGUCGGAACGUUAAUCUUCCCGGUGAAAGCUGGGAAGCUAAGCGCCGAUGAACGCCGGCCGUAACUAUAACGGUCCUAUGGUAGCGAAAUUCCUUGGCACGUAAGUUGUGUCCCGCACGAAUGGCGUCACGACUGGAGAACUGUCUCAACGAGGGACCCGGUGAAAUUGCAAUGUCGGUGAAGAUGCCGCCACCCUGCGGCAAGACAGAAAGACCCCGUGAAGCUUCACUACAGCUUGGUAUUGGGGCGUCGAGCUUGUUGCUCAGUAUAGGUGGGAGCCUUUGAACUAGUCGCUUCGGCGGCUAGGGAGGCGACCGUGAGAUACCACCCUACAUGUUUGACGCGUCUAACGACGUGGUGUGAAUCCACCACCCGGACAGUGCCUGGCGGGUAGUUUAUCUGGGGCGGAUGACUCCCAAAUUGUAACGGAGUCGCCUAAAGGUCGGCUAGGCCCGGAUGGAAAUCGGGCCAAUAGCGUAAAAGCAGAAGCCGGCUUAACUGCAAGACGUACAUGUCGCGCAGAUACGAAAGUAGAGUUUAGUGAACCGACCGUUCUCAUGUAGAAGAGCGGAAGAUCAUCGGAUAAAAGUUACUCCGGGGAUAACAGGCUUAUCUCCCCCAAUAGUCCACAUAGACGGGGAGGUUUGGCACCUUAAUAUAUCGGGGUGCCGGGCGAGUGAUCGCUUAUUGCUGUUAGGUCUAUUCUGUCAACAAUCAAUUAAACCAACUCAAAACGGCGAACGCCAGGUAUACGAGCCUGGUCAACGCCGUGGGAGCACGCUUAUUUAGCGUGUCCCGUAACGACUGACCCGAAAGGGGAGACCGUACGAACAGUACGGUAAUACGGUUGGCCCUCAUAAGUGAAAAGCAGCCAUGGCAAUCAGCCUUCGGCAUGAGCUUUGUGAGGUGAAGGCAUAGUCUAAACUACUAAGUAAUUAGUAGAUAAAAUCCGGCAGCGAUGUCGGCUCGUCCUAUCCUGGGGCUGAAGAAG
RNAcentral lists this ribosomal RNA (2946 nucleotides) under groundwater metagenome. RNAcentral's name for it is "bacterial LSU rRNA". It matches the Rfam family "Bacterial large subunit ribosomal RNA". The record is from RNAcentral.